UACGGAGGGUGCAAGCGUUGUUCGGAAUUAUUGGGCGUAAAGGGCGUGUAGGCUGUGGUGCAAGUCGGACGUGAAAUCCCUCGGCUUAACUGAGGAACUGCGCUCGAAACUGCAUCGCUAGAGUACCGGAGAGGGUAGGGGAAUUCCCAGUGUAGAGGUGAAAUUCGUAGAUAUUGGGAGGAACACCGGUGGCGAAGGCGCCUACCUGGACGAGUACUGACGCUGAGACGCGAAAGCGUGGGUAGCAAACAGG
This 253-nucleotide ribosomal RNA is filed under the name uncultured bacterium. Its description in RNAcentral is "partial 16S ribosomal RNA". It matches the Rfam family "Bacterial small subunit ribosomal RNA", at positions 524 to 776 of the family's 1533-position model. The record is from RNAcentral.